This 771-nucleotide ribosomal RNA is filed under the name bacterium LGM84. RNAcentral describes it as "bacterial SSU rRNA". It matches the Rfam family "Bacterial small subunit ribosomal RNA", at positions 57 to 823 of the family's 1533-position model. The record is from RNAcentral.
GCAAGUCGAGCGGUAGAGAGAAGCUUGCUUCUCUUGAGAGCGGCGGACGGGUGAGUAAUGCCUAGGAAUCUGCCUGGUAGUGGGGGAUAACGUUCGGAAACGGACGCUAAUACCGCAUACGUCCUACGGGAGAAAGCAGGGGACCUUCGGGCCUUGCGCUAUCAGAUGAGCCUAGGUCGGAUUAGCUAGUUGGUGAGGUAAUGGCUCACCAAGGCGACGAUCCGUAACUGGUCUGAGAGGAUGAUCAGUCACACUGGAACUGAGACACGGUCCAGACUCCUACGGGAGGCAGCAGUGGGGAAUAUUGGACAAUGGGCGAAAGCCUGAUCCAGCCAUGCCGCGUGUGUGAAGAAGGUCUUCGGAUUGUAAAGCACUUUAAGUUGGGAGGAAGGGUUGUAGAUUAAUACUCUGCAAUUUUGACGUUACCGACAGAAUAAGCACCGGCUAACUCUGUGCCAGCAGCCGCGGUAAUACAGAGGGUGCAAGCGUUAAUCGGAAUUACUGGGCGUAAAGCGCGCGUAGGUGGUUUGUUAAGUUGGAUGUGAAAUCCCCGGGCUCAACCUGGGAACUGCAUUCAAAACUGACUGACUAGAGUAUGGUAGAGGGUGGUGGAAUUUCCUGUGUAGCGGUGAAAUGCGUAGAUAUAGGAAGGAACACCAGUGGCGAAGGCGACCACCUGGACUAAUACUGACACUGAGGUGCGAAAGCGUGGGGAGCAAACAGGAUUAGAUACCCUGGUAGUCCACGCCGUAAACGAUGUCAACUAGCCGU